UAAAUAAUCAUGAAAUUAACUCUUAAAAUUAAUUUCAUAGAUUAAAUAGUAAGUAACUUUACAGCCUAAGGCAAUGAUCAAGCUCCCAGUCCUAGCCCUAGGAUUAAAGUCAAGAUAAUUAAGACUCUCCUAGACACUCAUUUUGAUGGUAAUAAGGAUAGCUAUUUACUACCUUCCUAAUUAUUUUGGUUUUAAAUUGAUUAAUACUAAUGAUGCAUAAGAAUGGUGGAUUUAAUGUCUUUAUUUGAUAUAUUUGUGCUUAUUAUUUAGAUGUAUAUCUUAGUUUUAAUUGUGUUUUUUAAUAUUUACUCAUUUCAUGAACUUCA
This 326-nucleotide unclassified non-coding RNA is filed under the name Hevea brasiliensis (rubber tree). The record is from RNAcentral. Lineage: Eukaryota; Viridiplantae; Streptophyta; Magnoliopsida; Malpighiales; Euphorbiaceae.